Molecule: ribosomal RNA, 169 nt
Filed under: Ogataea minuta
Lineage: Eukaryota; Fungi; Ascomycota; Pichiomycetes; Pichiales; Pichiaceae
Also listed under: 4 other names
Description: partial 18S ribosomal RNA
Rfam family: Eukaryotic small subunit ribosomal RNA
Source: RNAcentral
GGGCCGCACGCGCGCUACACUGACGGAGCCAACGAGCUCUAUCCUUGACCGAGAGGUCCGGGUAAUCUUGUGAAACUCCGUCGUGCUGGGGAUAGAGCAUUGCAAUUAUUGCUCUUCAACGAGGAAUUCCUAGUAAGCGCAAGUCAUCAGCUUGCGUUGAUUACGUCCC